RNAcentral lists this ribosomal RNA (434 nucleotides) under uncultured Lachnospiraceae bacterium. RNAcentral's name for it is "partial 16S ribosomal RNA". It matches the Rfam family "Bacterial small subunit ribosomal RNA", at positions 341 to 792 of the family's 1533-position model. Lineage: Bacteria; Bacillati; Bacillota; Clostridia; Lachnospirales; Lachnospiraceae. The record is from RNAcentral.
ACGGAAGGCAGCAGUGGGGAAUAUUGCACAAUGGGCGAAAGCCUGAUGCAGCGACGCCGCGUGAACGAUGAAGUAUUUCGGUAUGUAAAGUUCUAUCAGCAGGGAAGAUAAUGACGGUACCUGACUAAGAAGCACCGGCUAAAUACGUGCCAGCAGCCGCGGUAAUACGUAUGGUGCAAGCGUUAUCCGGAUUUACUGGGUGUAAAGGGAGCGUAGGCGGCUUUGCAAGUCUGAUGUGAAAGCCCGGGGCUCAACUCCGGUAUUGCAUUGGAAACUGUAGAGCUAGAGUGUCGGAGGGGUAAGUGGAAUUCCUAGUGUAGCGGUGAAAUGCGCAGAUAUUAGGAGGAACACCAGUGGCGAAGGCGGCUUACUGGACGAUUACUGACGCUGAGGCUCGAAAGCGUGGGGAGCAAACAGGAUUAGAUACCCUGGUA